AAGAAGAUCUUGCAAGAAAUUAAGAUCAGAUCAUUGCAAGCACAAGACCAAACAUCAAGGGUUGCACAUGCUUGGGAGUUCUCACAAAUGUCUCUGAGGCUUUUGAUUGCGUUUGGCCAAAAAAGUUUCGAGAGUUGCACCCUGGAUGGCUCUUUGGAAUUUAACAUUUCGUCUCGUUCUCUUUUUGGAGACCUCUUCAACUGAGCCCUUUUUGUGUUUUCUACGGUAAAGGACAGUCCAUGAAAUCUUUCGUGGAUUUCUUCUCAUCAAGAAGGAUCUCUCACAUUUUUUGUCUAGGAAAUUGACUAUUAAAUUGAUGUAUAAAACAUUUAUUGGUUAUGGAAAAAUAAUAUAGAUGUGAUUUUACAAUCUUUGUGAACAAUACAAUGUUUCUUUAUCUUUUUUGA
Xenia sp. Carnegie-2017 is the source of this 407-nucleotide long non-coding RNA. RefSeq lists it as uncharacterized. Lineage: Eukaryota; Metazoa; Cnidaria; Anthozoa; Malacalcyonacea; Xeniidae. The record is from RefSeq and is a predicted model, not a curated record. The transcript has 2 exons.